Molecule: ribosomal RNA, 807 nt
Filed under: Triticum aestivum (bread wheat)
Lineage: Eukaryota; Viridiplantae; Streptophyta; Magnoliopsida; Poales; Poaceae
Description: partial small subunit ribosomal RNA
Source: RNAcentral
AUGGGCACCAACAUUCGCUUCAGCACAACUUUCCAUCCUCAAACUAGUGGCCAAGUCGAGCGAGUAAAUCAAAUCCUUGAAGAUAUGCUCAGGGCUUGUGUCAUUUCCUUUGGCAUGAAAUGGGAAGAUUGUCUUCCAUAUGCCGAAUUCUCCUACAACAACAGUUUCCAAGCGAGUUCGGGCAAGGCCCCAUUCGAGAUUCUCUAUGGCAGAAAGUGCCAUACUCCUCUCAAUUGGUCAGAGACUGGUGAACGCCAACUUCUUGGCAAUGACUUAAUCACAGAAGCUGAAGAAAUGUGUAAAGUCAUCCGUGAAAAUCUCAAAGCCGCGAAAUCGCAUCAGAAGAGUUACUAUGAUAGUAAGCACCGUGAUUUGGCUUUCGAGAUCGGAGACCAUGUCUACCUCCGCGUCUCUCCAAUGAAAGGCACUCGUUGCUUCGGUAUCAAAGGGAAGCUUGCCCCUAGAUACGUGGGUCCUUUCAAGAUUAUUGGCAAAAGAGGCGACCUCGCCUAUCAACUUGAGCUUCCCUCCAACUUCGCGAACGUGCACGAUGUGUUCCACAUGUCACAACUUCGCAAGUGCUUCAAGACGCCUGAGCGCACCAUCAACUUCGAAGAGAUUGAUCUCCAAGAAGAUCUGUCUUAUCAUGAGCACCCCGUUGCUAUUCUUGAAGAAACUGAGCGCAAGACUCGCAACAAAUCAAUCAAAUUCCUGAAAGUGAAGUGGUCGCACCAUUCCGACCGAGAAGCCACCUGGGAACGCCAGGACCAUCUCCGUUCCGAAUAUCCGGAGUUCUUUCAGUCCUAG